AUGUUUUCUGCUAAUUUGGCUGUAAAAGAAUAUUCAGUACAAGGACAAAGGGGCCAGCUACCAUUGUACCUGAUACCUAGUUUGUUAUUUUUUGUUUUAUUCUCUCAGGUACUGUUAUAUAUAGUACUAAGAUUCAUAGAAGAAUUAUGAAGAAAAUAUCAGUAAAACUAUCUUAUCUUCCCUAAUAUUAUUCUCCUUCUAU
Molecule: long non-coding RNA, 202 nt
Filed under: Carica papaya (papaya)
Lineage: Eukaryota; Viridiplantae; Streptophyta; Magnoliopsida; Brassicales; Caricaceae
Description: long non-coding RNA (CPAP_LNC015389)
Source: RNAcentral